This is a small nucleolar RNA of Grammomys surdaster, 142 nucleotides long. RefSeq annotates it as small nucleolar RNA SNORA48. The record is from RefSeq and is a predicted model, not a curated record. NCBI's taxonomy places the organism in Eukaryota, Metazoa, Chordata, Mammalia, Rodentia, Muridae. The transcript has a single exon.
CGCCCCAGCAAGGCCAGAGAGACACCUUGUUGUUGGUAUUGUACUUAUAUCAGUCAUGGGCAAAGCAGAUGGAAGUUCUUUGUCCAUCCUAGCUUGGUGUCUGGCUUGGUGGCCAAAGCUAUUUUACACCUGGGACACAUAA